UUUUUGUUUUAUUUUGAUGGAGAUUAGUGUAAGUCCAUAGAGUGGCUUCUGAUAUCCUUGCUUGUUUUAGGAGACAGGUAUAAGACCAUUGAGUGGCAUCCAGUAUCCGCUUUUAUUUACUUUCAUCUGUUACCAUGUUCAGAUUAUUGCUCGUUUGUAGCCUAUUCCUAAGGACCCACUUGAAUCAUCUUCUAUAUGAUUUCAAGAGGCGGACCCUUCUAAGAAG
Molecule: long non-coding RNA, 226 nt
Filed under: Lathyrus oleraceus (garden pea)
Lineage: Eukaryota; Viridiplantae; Streptophyta; Magnoliopsida; Fabales; Fabaceae
Description: Pisum sativum (pea) long non-coding RNA (PSAT_LNC005988)
Source: RNAcentral